Saccoglossus kowalevskii is the source of this 498-nucleotide long non-coding RNA. Lineage: Eukaryota; Metazoa; Hemichordata; Enteropneusta; Harrimaniidae. The record is from RefSeq and is a predicted model, not a curated record.
GAUGCCUGGAUUGCAUUUGAGAAAGAAUUUCCUCCAUCUGAGCCAUUCACAUCUGGUGAUGGUUUUGAUCUAUAUAUAGAUGGUGCUAGACAUUUACCAGAUUGUGUUACUAUCACUAGGGUUGCUGGCAGAGUCUUUGAUAAAAAAUAUGACAAGAUUGGUAAAGACAUCAACACCAAUGUUUUCUUAGACAGCGAUAUAUUCAAUCCAGUUUAUAACUUUCGUCAAGAAUAUCGAGAUUUAGCGAUUCCACCAACAGCUACGUUACUUAUCAAGGUGUAUACAAUAGACCGAUAUACUAAAAGACUGACUGUGGUAGGUUUCGCUUCACUGAAUAUCUUUGUGGUGUCUGGCACCGAAAAACAACCACCUGCAGAUACAGGAGCUGUACAAAUAUCACUGAAUGAGGGCGCUCAUCAGCUUAGACUAUUCCAGCUAGGUCCAGAUGCUAAUAAACCCUUGACUAAUCAGACAUUGAAAGAUACAAAGAAGUAAGUG